Molecule: long non-coding RNA, 1678 nt
Filed under: Triticum aestivum (bread wheat)
Lineage: Eukaryota; Viridiplantae; Streptophyta; Magnoliopsida; Poales; Poaceae
Description: long non-coding RNA (TAES_LNC017178)
Source: RNAcentral
UGUGCAAGGUGACCUUACCUGAGAUGGGAAAGUCCGUGGCCAGAGCAAUCGACGGCUUGCGCAGUCGCUACAACAUCCCAGCUACAACAGCUUAGCAUACAGUUUCUGCUACGUCUCUCAGUUGGUAAUCACUCCUCCUCUUUCGAAAUUGACAUAUGAGUUGGCCAUGUUCAGUGAAUGUAUGAGUGUUUGUCCAUGAAAACAAACAGGUGUAGCAUCUACCAUGGAUAUUAAUUGUUGGUUACAGGUUACCAAAGUGUUGUAGUUCAUUGUAUAUGCAGUUCUAGUAGCAGUCAUAAUAUCAAGGACGUAUAAGAGAUCACUAGAGCCUAGAUGAUCAUAUGCUUUCGGAAGGUUUUACUUGCUUGGUUGAUUAGUACUUUUGCGUAGAACACACUCUGGGCUGUGUAUAAUGGGUAUUUUUCUAUACAAUGUUGGCUUGGAUAUUCCAGGAACUUAUUUCAGUUGGCAUUACAAGUAUCGAUCGUGGGUUUCAAACUGAUCCAGAGAUUUGUGCUCUAAAUGCAGAGGUUUUAGUAUGUAUUAGACAUAUAUGAAUUGGUCACACUUCCAAAAUCUGUUUCCAUGAGUGUGCUAGCUGUAAUUGUUUACGGUACUUCUUUCCAUCCGUGUGCCAGCUUAGCAUACGUCUCUGACUCUGAGUUGGUAAUCACUUCUCCUGUUUCAAAAUUGACAUAUGAGUUGGCCAUGUUCAGUAAAUUUCAUGAAAAUCAGAGGUGUAGUAUCUAUGUACCAGGAAUAGUAAUUAUGGUUGGUCAUGUUCAGAAGCUUUUACUUGCUUGGUUGAUUAUUACUUAAUGGGUAUUUCUAAUCCAGGUGAACAUCAACUAUGUCUUAGAUGUUGGCUUAGAUAUCCAGACACUUAUUUCAGUUGGAAUUAGAAGCAUCGGUCAUGGGUUUCAAACUAAUAUCCAGAAAUUCAUGGUCUAAAUGCACAGGUUUUAGUAUGUAUUAGACUUGUAUGAGUUCGCCAUACUCCCAAACUCUGCUCCUCUGCGUGUGCUAGCUGUACUUGUUUAUGGUACUCCUUUCCAUCUUAAAUUACUUGCAUAUAAUAAUUGCUGUAUUCCAAGAAAUUAUGUUAUGUGGCUGAACAGAUAAGCUAUCUACAUCACACAUACAGAUAGGAAAUCUUCCUCUCAUUCCAUUGUGUUUGCGUUUUUACAUUCUUUCUCCAGCAACUAGUAUCAGUCAUAACAUCAAGGACGGAGCAGAGAUCACUAGAGCCAGUCAUAAUAAUCUACCAGGGAUAGUAAUUGUUGGUUACAGGCUACCAAGGGUUGCAGUUCAUUGUAUAUGCAGUUCUAGUAGCAGUCAUGAUAUCAAGGACGGAUAAGAGACUAGUAGAGCCUUUCAGAAGCUUUUACUUGCUUGGUUGAUUAGUGUUCUUGUAUAGAACAGUUCAUUGUAUAAUGUCGUAGAUGCUGGCUUGGAUAUUCCAGACACUUGUUUCAGUUCGAAUUAGAAGCAUCAUGGCAUGGGUUUCAAACAAGUGUCCAUAAACUGGGGGUCUAAAUGCACACGUUUGAGCAUGUAUUGGACUUGUAUGAGUUGGUUAUACUUCCAAAAUCUGUUCCUCUGCAUGUGCUAGCUGUACUUGUUUAUGGUACUUCUUUUUAUCUUAAAUUACUUUGGUGUAAUUACAUGAUAAUUUCUG